This 76-nucleotide transfer RNA is filed under the name Candidatus Falkowbacteria bacterium RIFCSPHIGHO2_02_FULL_45_15. RNAcentral describes it as "tRNA-Lys". It matches the Rfam family "tRNA". Rfam says of the family: Transfer RNA (tRNA) molecules are approximately 80 nucleotides in length. Their secondary structure includes four short double-helical elements and three loops (D, anti-codon, and T loops). Lineage: Bacteria; Candidatus Falkowiibacteriota. RNAcentral also lists the same sequence under 1 other name. The record is from RNAcentral.
GCGCCCGUAGCUCAGUCGGUAGAGCAACAGCCUUUUAAGCUGAUGGUCGUGGGUUCGAUUCCCGCCGGGCGCACUA